RNAcentral lists this long non-coding RNA (571 nucleotides) under Ananas comosus (pineapple). Its description in RNAcentral is "long non-coding RNA (ACOM_LNC000582)". Lineage: Eukaryota; Viridiplantae; Streptophyta; Magnoliopsida; Poales; Bromeliaceae. The record is from RNAcentral.
AACCUGCUCUCUCGGGUCCUUACACCCCUAUGCAACCCAUUCCAAAGCGUUUAAAACACUUUGCAAAGCGUUCCAACUCAUCCGACUCCGCGCUUCGCUCGUUUUGACGGAAGCUCGGCACAACUUAUUGGGGGAAUUCCAUAUGUUACAUUCCCCACCCCUUAAAAAUAGUUUCGUCUGCGAAACUCGGAUCCACACCACAGCUCCACUCAUCACUCAGAUGAGGACAAACCCACGUGCUACCUUACGAGUCUCCAAGACCUCGUACUUGACGCGCUCGCUUCAGCGCUUAUCAACAUACAAAAUCAUACCAUUCUGUAACAUCCUCUCCUCAUGAGUCCAGAAUGCACAUUAAAUACAUUUCACAUGUCGCUUACGCAUGCAACGGUGCAUUCUACUGACUAGGCGGCAAUGCCAACAUUCGUGCCACCGCGCCCACGCACUCCCAAAACUCUCCAGGGUCCAAUGCAUCGAGAACUACACUUUCCUCGACACCAACACACCCUAUACCACAUGGGUAACAUUCUCAAGGACAUCGCUUUCCUUCGCGAAUUCAAAACCUCGUCGGCGC